UCGUGGAGCUCCGGCUCCUUCGAGGGAGAACCCUUGCCUUUUCGAGCACCUGUUUGUUUCCUCGGCAGGCCCGCCUGCCAAUGGGGACCCCUUUAAACUCUUGCAAUAACCUGUAUGAGAUCGUCUGAACAAGACAAACAAGUCA
Molecule: unclassified non-coding RNA, 145 nt
Filed under: soil metagenome
Description: partial internal transcribed spacer 1
Source: RNAcentral